This is a non-coding RNA of Rattus norvegicus (Norway rat), 70 nucleotides long. NCBI's taxonomy places the organism in Eukaryota, Metazoa, Chordata, Mammalia, Rodentia, Muridae. The record is from Rfam.
GGGGAUUUAGCUCAGCGGUAGAGCGCUUGCCUAGCAAGCGCAAGGCCCUGGGUUCGGUCCCCAGCUCCCA